UGGGGGAUAUUGCACAAUGGGCGAAAGCCUGAUGCAGCGACGCCGCGUGGGGGAUGAAGGCCUUCGGGUUGUAAACUUCUUUUGCUCUGAACAAGGCGCACCAUGGGGUGUGUUGAGUGUAGGGGUUGAUUAGCGCCGGCUAACUACGUGCCAGCAGCCGCGGUAAGACGUAGGGCGCGAGCGUUGUCCGGAAUUAUGGGGCGUAAAGGGCUUGUAGGUGUCUGGUUGCGUCUGUCGUGAAAGCUCAUGGCUUAACUGUGGGUUGGCGGUGGGUACGGGCUGGCUUGAGUGCAGUAGGGGAGGCUGGAAUUCCUGGUGUAGCGGUGGAAUGCGCAGAUAUCAGGAGGAAUACCGGUGGCGAAGGCGGGUCUCUGGGCUGUUACUGACACUGAGGAGCGAAAGCAUGGGGAGCGAACAGG
RNAcentral lists this ribosomal RNA (419 nucleotides) under bacterium. RNAcentral's name for it is "partial 16S ribosomal RNA". It matches the Rfam family "Bacterial small subunit ribosomal RNA", at positions 355 to 776 of the family's 1533-position model. The record is from RNAcentral.